AUUGAACGCUGGCGGCAGGCCUAACACAUGCAAGUCGAGCGGAAGAAGAGAGAGUGCUCGUGGAUUCGGGGGCGGAGGGGUGAACAAGGCCGAGGAAUCUGGCUGGUAGUUGGGGAUAAGGUCCGGAAACGGGGGCUAAUACGCUAUAAGUGCAGAGGGCGUAAGGGGGGAAGCUGGGGACCUUAGGAUCUCGGGUGAUCCUAGGUCGGAUUAGCUAGUUGGCGGGGUAAAGGCCUACCAAGGCGACGAUCCGUAGCUGGUCUGAGAGGAUGAUCAGCCACACUGGAACUGAGACACGGUCCAGACUCCUACGGGAGGCAGCAGUGGGGAAUAUUGGACAAUGGGCGAAAGCCUGAUCCAGCCAUGCCGCGUGUGUGAAGAAGGUCUUCGGAUUGUAAAGCCCUUUUAGUUGGGAGGAAGAGCAGUAAGUUAAUACCUUGCUGUUCUGACGUUACCCAAAGAAUAAGCACCGGCUAACUUCGUG
This 484-nucleotide ribosomal RNA is filed under the name uncultured bacterium. RNAcentral's name for it is "partial 16S ribosomal RNA". It matches the Rfam family "Bacterial small subunit ribosomal RNA", at positions 29 to 507 of the family's 1533-position model. The record is from RNAcentral.